Molecule: long non-coding RNA, 1113 nt
Organism: Acanthopagrus latus (yellowfin seabream)
Lineage: Eukaryota; Metazoa; Chordata; Actinopteri; Spariformes; Sparidae
Exons: 2
Source: RefSeq, a predicted model, not a curated record
AUUCCAGCACAUUCUCCCUCACAACUUCACUCACACAAAUACAGUGACUUGUUCAGUGGCCUCAAGCCUAAAAAAACAAAUUUAAUCUCCUUAAAGGGCUCAAGAGUCAAGUUAGUUAUGAUACAUGCAACAUCCAGCUGGAUUUAAAUAUAAAGCUUGUGGACAUACAGUUCAUAUAUUUUUGUCGCAAUUAUAAAUAAUGAACCAGAUGCAGAAACUUUAAUGAGCUCAUGUCCAAAUGAAAUCCAAAAAUCCAGCAUCCAAAAAGCAAGUAACAGAAGACAGGCAAAGGAAGGUCCAAGGAAAAAAAACUACAGAUCUGAUACCACCAGAAACCACAAGGAACAGUCAGAAACACAGGAGACACUCAAAGACCCGGAGAGUGAAAGGAGCAACGUAACUUCAGUGUGGUGACAUAACUUACAACAUGUUACCGUCCAGGCUCAGACUUUUCUCACUCUUUUCCCCAUUACAUUAGAGGGGCGCUUCAGAAAAGUGAUACUCGGGUAGAAAUACAGCGUUCAACUAAGGACUGAGAACAGGCUGCACAUUCAUACGCUGACGACAGAGGCCUCCGUGGAGAGUACGAUACAGUGUUCUCUAACACAGAGCGCCUCACGGUAUUUCUACACUCAGGUAUUCACACAUUCACUCGGAAACCAAACGGAGAGCCGCUGGGUUCAGUAUCUUGCACAACAACUCAUCCCAUCUGGACUGGGAAUACUUCAGGAUUCCCCAAACGGCAGUGAAGGACGUGAAGACAUCGGUGGUACGUGGAGCUCGCUGCACAACACUGUGCAUCAGCACAGCAGCCUGGUCUCCAGAUCUGAAGGUGCAGAUUGUGAUCUUGCGUCCCUUCUGCAGUGUCGCAUGGGCAGCGCAGCGCGUCUGAUCCGAGAUAAAAGACUCUGAAAGGUUGCUUCCCCCGAAUGACGGAGAGAGUGAUGAGAGCGGAAGAUGGAGAGGGCAGAAAGAAAAGAGGAGAUGUCAGGAUGCUGUCCUUUCUCUUUAUUGUUUCAUAACUAAACUUUGAUAUCUUCUGGCAUCUAUUCAGACGUGUCUCUGAAGGUGUUUGAUAUUCUUUUCCCCAGUACAGUAUAUUUUGCAAAAUUG